CAUCACUGCAACGAGCUACAAAGAAUCAUUUGUCUCGACUGCCUGGGCCAGGCUCGCUUCUGCUGCAGCUCACAGACGGCACAGUUAUCCAGGAGACUGGAAGAAUGCAGUCAAGAAUAAUGCAAAAAUGGAGGGACAAACUGUUCUACAACUUUAGGAGGGGCACAAGCCCAGCACAGUCUCAGUUUUCAGAGGACUACAGCUCCCAUGAUCCCCAAGAAGAAAUGAACCUGAGCUUUGACAGCAACGCACUUUGGGAAAAGGAGGAGGUGUCGGUGAUGAUCUAACCAGCACCUGACUCGCCAGCCAUUUGUCCUUGGAGGGCUGGGUAGGGACGAGUGCGGCUGCAUCGUGUGAUGGGGAGUGGCUGUCACCCUGGCGAAUCCCUUCGGAGGAUUACCCAAAAGUCUCCAUAAUUUUCCUUUCAGCCUUGAACCACCCCCUCCAUCCAAUGAACGAUGAACAAACUUGAAAGGCACCGUCUGUUGAGAUGAUGUGCAGAGCGGAGAAGAGCUAAGCUCUACACUACCAAGGAAACCUGAGGAAUGAUCCCUCUGAUGCACUUUCUGAUGUUUAUUGUGUAUUCUGUCUUCCCUGUGUAUCUCCAUACAAUGAAUUUGUAUUGUAAUGCAGGAAGGUCCUUCCCCCACAAAUGAGAACGGUAUAGCCAAAACAGCUAGCAUUGGAUAUUUAAAAAGAUUCACCCCAAAGUUUAAAUUGUUGGUCUGACUUCUGCUGUGGCUGAUUGCACUAAUCCUCAGGAACAGACAGUACCUUUCUGUAAACUAGUAAUAGUAAAAAAGUCUUACUAGCCCAGGCUAGCUACUGAAAAUGCACUGCACCUUUUUGGUCUGUUUAUAAUGUACCGUGGCUAUCCAAUAGCUCUUGCGGUUUAAUUCGGGGACAAUAGCAGUCUUUGUUCUGGUUUUGGAUUUGUGCUUGAUUUUGCACUGAUAUGGAUA
Molecule: long non-coding RNA, 962 nt
Organism: Aptenodytes forsteri (emperor penguin)
Lineage: Eukaryota; Metazoa; Chordata; Aves; Sphenisciformes; Spheniscidae
Exons: 3
Source: RefSeq, a predicted model, not a curated record